Molecule: ribosomal RNA, 551 nt
Filed under: uncultured bacterium
Lineage: Bacteria
Description: bacterial SSU rRNA
Rfam family: Bacterial small subunit ribosomal RNA
Source: RNAcentral
UUCAGUGCCGCAGUUAACACAAUAAGUAAUCCACCUGGGGAGUACGACCGCAAGGUUGAAACUCAAAGGAAUUGACGGGGGCCCGCACAAGCAGUGGAGUAUGUGGUUUAAUUCGACGCAACGCGAAGAACCUUACCAAGUCUUGACAUCCUCUGACGAUGCUGGAAACAGUAUUUUCCUUCGGGACAGAGAGACAGGUGGUGCAUGGUUGUCGUCAGCUCGUGUCGUGAGAUGUUGGGUUAAGUCCCGCAACGAGCGCAACCCUUAUGGAUAGUUACUACGCAAGAGGACUCUAUUCAGACUGCCGUUGACAAAACGGAGGAAGGUGGGGAUGACGUCAAAUCAUCAUGCCCUUUAUGACUUGGGCUACACACGUACUACAAUGGCGUUCAACAAAGAGAAGCGAAAUCGCGAGAUGGAGCAAAACUCAAAAACAACGUCCCAGUUCAGAUUGCAGGCUGCAACUCGCCUGCAUGAAGUCGGAAUUGCUAGUAAUCGCAGAUCAGCAUGCUGCGGUGAAUACGUUCCCGGGCCUUGUACACACCGCCCGU